UAACAAUGGCGCUACUACAUGCCUCAGGCUU
RNAcentral lists this non-coding RNA (31 nucleotides) under Rattus norvegicus (Norway rat). The record is from RNAcentral. Lineage: Eukaryota; Metazoa; Chordata; Mammalia; Rodentia; Muridae.